CUGGGUAGUUACUCCUUAUGUUACGCUCUGUGCUGCCAUUUGGGACCGUACCAAAGCGGAAUGGGGGGUACUGCUCCUGCGGCUUUUGAAACUG
RNAcentral lists this microRNA precursor (94 nucleotides) under Tetraodon nigroviridis (spotted green pufferfish). RNAcentral's name for it is "miRNA (ENSTNIG00000020488.1)". Lineage: Eukaryota; Metazoa; Chordata; Actinopteri; Tetraodontiformes; Tetraodontidae. The record is from RNAcentral.